AUGAACAAAAGACCACAAGUUUGAUAACUCAGUUGGCAAGGCUAUGGGGAAAUAGACACUCUCAUAUAUCAAUCAUGAGAGGAAGAAGAAUCUGCGCCUGCCCCUGGCUCAGUGCCUGGUGCCAACAGAACACCUUUCAGGAUCCACAGCAACGCAGACAACGUAAGUACCAGCCGUUUCCUGAAACCCUUUUUCAGAUUUUUUUUUUAAACGACCACCUAAAACAUAGAGACAAACCUCUUCCCCCUUCUUUCCCCUUCUUCUCCCCUGCGUUCUGCCACCAGGGUUUCCUAAGUGGCACCUUCCAAAUCCCUCUGACUUCAAGUUUGUGCAUGUCUGUGUGGCAUCCCUCCUCCUCCUUCACUCCCAUAGUGGAUCUUGUAAAAGGGCUUCAGAUCGGCCCCAUUCAUCUCCCUGGUGAUAGCAGUGAAUGUAGAUAAAUCUCUGACUGCCUGCUUGCUGCUGGAGUAUGAUUUUUAUUUUGUCUUCUGUGUAUACCUGGGUCAAAAAGUGGGAUUGUAUGCACACACAUACAUGCACUUACACACAUUUCCCUCUCUCUCCUUCUCUGUCCUCCUCUCCUUCUCCUCACACAUGCAUACAUCCCACAUUAUGUGUAUAUAUGCAUAAACAUAUACACCUAUAUACAUACCCAUACCUAUAACACAAAAAUAGACACAUACCUAAAUGUUUCAUUUGUCUGAAAAUAAUGUGUAUUUAUAUACACAUACAGCCUUACAAAUGUGUCUAAAUGCAAUCGAUAGGUGCCUAUCUUUUAAUUUAUACCCUUCUAUGUCUCCAUUUAAAAUUCCCUCUCUUCUCCCAGCAGAAGUUGUGUUCAAUUGCAAUCCAGGAUUGUAUAAGCAGUAUUCUUUCCUUAUGAUUUCUAUUUGUAGACCUUUAUGCUCCCUUCUCUGCCUUCUUCGGAGCUGUAGAAUUGGCAUCGUUCCCUGAGGUUUUCCAAAUGGCAAGUGGCACCGGCUGUGGCAUGUAUUCAUGCCGCUUCCUAUGGCAUUUCUCUUCCGAUGUCUGCUUUUGCUCUUUGUUUGUUGUUGACUAGGCUGAAUGGUGGGGUGUUUUUUUUUUUUUUUUAAGUUAAUUAUAAACGAAGUUGAAUAGCAAACAAACCAACAGCUUGCCCAAAAAGAAAAAAAAAAGAAAAAAAAGCCCCACACAAGCGCCUUCUGCUGCAACAGAUGCCCAGAUCACCCCUGGCAUGGGCAAAUGGGCACACAAUUUUGGUGGUAGUUAAUUUUUUCAGUUUGUUGCUGUAUUUGUUGUUUGUUUUCCUUGUUUCCUUUGAUUUUUCAAGGAGUCCAAGAUCCCGGCCUCUGCUUGGAACGGAACAGUGUCAUGGCGGAGACGACGGCCUUUGUCUUGCUGGGUGUGAAAGCAUCCGCUGUGCUUGCUCCACUGCGGCAGAAUCAAGUUUAAAGGAAGAAAGUGAUUAAAGUCAGCUUUGUGCCUCUUUGGUGUGGAAGACCCCCAAACCCCAAGUAGCCGAGUCUCUGGGUCCGAGGAAGGGCUCAUAGUUGGAGCAGCCUAGGCUGUAAUCCUGGCACUUGCGCCUUCGGUUGCUGCUUUCUGUUCGCUCCUGGGGGUCUGGAUAAUCUCCCUUGGCUUUACCGCACUGUCUGGCCCGCAUACAGGGCCCUCGUAACAUAUACCCGCUGCUGCUAUCGCACGAAACUGUGGCGUUGCCCCUGAAUGGAUGGCACUGUGCCAACUCUUCUGCCAUCCGCCCUUGCAGCUUUUUUCUUUCCUCCCUCCCUCCCCUUCUUCUCCUCCUCCUCCCGUCGACUUGACGUUAAUUAACACACGGGUUAAUUGAUUUUAAAAGCCGAAGAAUUACAGUUAACUUUUCCCACAGGGUACAGACGCCAGCCGCUUGGCACACUCUGCCUUCCGCACUGGUGCAGGGGGGCAGGGAAAGCCCGCAGCAAAACUGGCAACUGCUGAGGGAACGUUGCCUGCUUAUUGGAGUAGAGCCGAUAGAAGUCGACGUGAUACUGCCUCGUCCUUACGGUAUAUAUAGCCAUUCUAUAUUUUGUUAAAUAAUCAAAGCACACCCUGUCUCUCUUCUCCCUUCAUCUUUCAAAACAGGAAAACCCUUCAGAAGUUCUUAUGGGGGGAAAAAAUCCCUCCCCUAACCCAUUUAUCUCAUCCAUAAUAUACCCUUUCCCAAUAAUAAGAAAAUACCUGAAGCCUUUUUUCUUUAAGUUACAAGGAGGAAGGCGACCACUUCCCUAAAUAUCACACCUAAAGAAGUGUUUUUUUUUUUUUUAAAGGAAAAAGUUCCGUGAAGUUUCUUUCUCUGUAUCUUACUGUUUUAAUUUGUCCCCAUUUCUCUUGACUCGCAUGGGUUAUUUAUAAUGGAUUUCACUAAGAAAGUAGGUACGUUUUAAUUAAAAACAAAAUUCAUGUGAAAGUUCUUUUGGUUGGUUUGUAUGUUUGUAGAAUUUUGCUUUCUGUCCUUAUCUCUCCCCCUGUAGAAAAGGAAAGCAAUUGAUACUGUAGUUGGGAAGGAGACAGGCAAAGCUGGAAACUUGAUGCUUUCACCUUUUCAUGCUUUCAUUUUAUUUCAUUUUGUUUUUUUAAAAGCAUGCAGCAACUGAAGCGACAAGAGGAAUCCAUUAUGCAAAUCAUGUCACUUUGCAUAAUGUCUCAUGACUGGAAUAUGCAAAUGGGCUGUAUAAUUUAUGAGUGCCAGUGUCUGUCUAAAAGUGUUUCACAUAAUUUACAAAGUGAGUCUGAAAGACAUGGGGAAGGCAGUUCUUCCAACCCCACUGCCAAGGAAUCUCUGUGUAUUUUCCUGCAAGUGCUCCCUGGUAAUAGUGUCAAGUGUUAUUUAAAAGAAAUUAAGGUUCCAAAUAUUCAUGAAAGACAAAGAUUUUCCCCUCACUCUCUUCACCCAUAUUCUUUGCCUAAAAAUUUACAAAAUUAAUAGACUCUAAAGCAUUAAUUUUUGGAUUCAAUUUGGAAAAAAAAGUUGAGCCAAAUUUGGCAUUUGUAUAUGGAUUUUCCUUCCUAAAGCAAGGACUGUCUUAGGGAAACAGACACAUCCAUUUGUCUGGAUAUUUGAAUGCAAUAAAAUGGGACUUCUCAUUUUAGUUGGUUUUGUGUGUGUCCUGCUAUGUGCAAUAUUUUAUAAAUUAUGUUCUCUUGGAUGUGUUAGACAUAUAAUAUGGAAGUCAGAUGCAUUUAAAAUUCUUCUGAAGAUAUAAUUCUCCUUUCAUAGAUGUCUUCAAAAGAGAAAUGCUAUUCAUUAAAAACCAGGUUUAAGUUCAUUAAGUCAGCUUAGUUGGCUGCUUCAUGUCUCAUUUUGGUAACUUUUUUGAGUUGAUGAUUUUGAACCUUUUGAGAAGUCAUAACAUCUUUGAUGAUCUGCCCUAAUCUACUCUUAUAUUUUUCAUUUUAAUCAUAAUAAGUCCUGUGAAAGAGACAUAUAGGGUGCCAUGAAAAUGUGUACCAGGAGGAACUGAUCUUUGGAGAGCAUGUCAGAAAAGACUUCCUGAAGAAAGUGAAUUCAAGGUGAAUGCUGAAAGUUGAAAAGAAAUUAGACAAAAAGAGGGAGAAAAUAUUUUCCAUGUAGAGAGUUUACUCAGUAAAUCCUCAGACAACAAGAGAUUGGAACAAGCUGCUUGGAAGAACUAAAAACCAGUGUGGCUGGGGACAAUGGGUCACUGGAUCAUACUGGGAACAGAUUAGAAGGUAAGUAUGUGAAGAGAUAACUUAUACAUUAUCUGCAUUUAUGUGCUGUUACAUGGACUCAUAUCAU
Molecule: long non-coding RNA, 3778 nt
Filed under: Mustela putorius furo (domestic ferret)
Lineage: Eukaryota; Metazoa; Chordata; Mammalia; Carnivora; Mustelidae
Description: lncRNA (ENSMPUG00000029914.1)
Source: RNAcentral